Molecule: ribosomal RNA, 251 nt
Filed under: uncultured prokaryote
Description: partial 16S ribosomal RNA
Rfam family: Bacterial small subunit ribosomal RNA
Source: RNAcentral
ACGUAGGAGGCGAGCGUUAUCCGGAUUCACUGGGCGUAAAGCGCGUGCAGGCGGUUCGGUAAGUUUGGCGUGAAAUCCCCCGGCUCAACCGGGGGAGGUCGUUCAAUACUGCGGGACUUGAGAGCGGUAGAGGAAAAUGGAAUUCCAGGUGUAGUGGUGAAAUGCGUAGAUAUCGGGAGGAACACCAGUGGCGAAGGCGAUUUUCUGGAUCGUUUCUGACGCUCAGGCGCGAAAGCGUGGGGAGCAAACGG